AACAUCCUCUCUAAAGAUUUACAAUUUUACUUUUGUUCCUUUUUCCCUCCCAUAGAACUUCAUUAUCUAUUUCCAAACAGUAAAUCAUGGUYAAUCAUGCUUAAGGAAUUAUUGGAACAGAAUAUUUGAAGGCAGAAAUGUUCUGAAAAUGCAAGUCCACUAAGUGCUGGCCAGAUUAGCCAAAAUGGGAAGAAUUGGAUUCCACUCUCUUCCACGAAGAGUUAAUGGGACUGGCUAAGAUCAAAAUCUGAGGCUUUUUCCAUCUGUAAUCAGUCCCUUUUUGCUUUCUUUUACGACCACAUGAAACUUGAGAAGCCACCUAAAGCUAUAUCAUUUAGUGGAGUUGGGCAGUUCCCAAGUGUCCAACAAG
RNAcentral lists this long non-coding RNA (370 nucleotides) under Urocitellus parryii (Arctic ground squirrel). RNAcentral's name for it is "lncRNA (ENSUPAG00010005118.1)". Lineage: Eukaryota; Metazoa; Chordata; Mammalia; Rodentia; Sciuridae. The record is from RNAcentral.